GGAGAAUUACCCAAGCGGUUGAAGGGGUCGGUCUUGAAAACCGAUAGAGGAUGCAAGUCCUGCUAGGGUUCGAAUCCCUAAUUCUCCGCCA
Molecule: transfer RNA, 91 nt
Filed under: Bacilli bacterium
Lineage: Bacteria; Bacillati; Bacillota; Bacilli
Also listed under: 1 other name
Description: tRNA-Ser
Rfam family: tRNA
About the family: Transfer RNA (tRNA) molecules are approximately 80 nucleotides in length. Their secondary structure includes four short double-helical elements and three loops (D, anti-codon, and T loops). Further hydrogen bonds mediate the characteristic L-shaped molecular structure. tRNAs have two regions of fundamental functional importance: the anti-codon, which is responsible for specific mRNA codon recognition, and the 3' end, to which the tRNAs corresponding amino acid is attached (by aminoacyl-tRNA synthetases). tRNAs cope with the degeneracy of the genetic code in two manners: having more than one tRNA (with a specific anti-codon) for a particular amino acid; and 'wobble' base-pairing, i.e. permitting non-standard base-pairing at the 3rd anti-codon position.
Source: RNAcentral